GGAUGUGAGGAUAAUUGGACUGCAACAGAUGCCACCCCCAUUAUUGCCAGUGUUGAUUGGGCUGACCUGGCCGGCUUCCUCCCUCACCACUCCAUGUCUGGUUCUCUUCAAGCUGUGCCUGUUUUGUCCAAGGGGACGACCUUCCCUGACACAGGAGGGCUGUUCUUCAGUCAAGGAUACAUGAAUAGCUGCUAGAACCUCCAGACAAGCUCUCACGGUCCACUUCCGAACCCACCGGGCUCCCU
RNAcentral lists this small nuclear RNA (245 nucleotides) under Jaculus jaculus (lesser Egyptian jerboa). RNAcentral describes it as "7SK RNA (ENSJJAG00000004857.1)". It matches the Rfam family "7SK RNA", at positions 1 to 278 of the family's 331-position model. Rfam says of the family: 7SK was discovered as an abundant small nuclear RNA in the mid-70s but a possible function has only recently been suggested. The record is from RNAcentral. Lineage: Eukaryota; Metazoa; Chordata; Mammalia; Rodentia; Dipodidae.